UACCAGCUCUCCGAGUGGUGUGGAUGUUUAUUGGGCCUAAAGCAUCCGUAGCUGGCCAAGCCAGUCCCCUGUUAAACCCACCGAAUUAAUCGUUGGAUUGCGGGGGAUACUGCUCGGCUAGGGGACGAGAGAGGCCGACGGUAUUCUCGGGGUAGGGGUGAAAUCCUAUAAUCCCGGGAAGACCACCAGUGGCGAAGGCUGUCGGCUAGAACGAGCCCGACGGUGAGGGAUGAAAGCUGGGGGAGCAAACCGGAUUAGAUACCCGGGUAGUCCCAGCUGUAAACGAUGCAGGCUAGGUGUUUGGACGGCCACGCGCCGUUCUAGUGCCGCAGGGAAGCUGUUAAGCCUGCCGCCUGGGGAGUACGAUCACAAGAUUGAAACUUAAAGGAAUUGGCGGGGGAGCACCACAAGGGGUGAAGCUUGCGGUUUAAUUGGAGUCAACACCGGAAAUCUCACCGGGAGCGACAGCAGGUUGAAGGCCAGAUUAAAGGUCUUGCCAGACGAGCUGAGAGGAGGUGCAUGGCCGUCGCCAGUUCGUGCCGUGAGGUGUCCUGUUAAGUCAGGCAACGAUCGAGACCCGCGUCCUCUGUUGCAACUAGCCUAGAGCUGGGCACACUGAGGAGACCGCCGCUGAUAAAGCGGAGGAAGGAGCGGGCCACGGCAGGUCAGUAUGCCCCGAAUCUCCCGGGCCACACGCGAGCUGCAAUGGCAGGUACAAUGGGUUCCGACCUCGUAAGGGGAAGGCAAUCUCGAAAGCCUGCCGUAGUUGGGAUUGAGGGUUGAAACCCACCCUCAUGAACAUGGAAUCCCUAGUAAUCGCGUGUCACUAGCGCGCGGUGAAUACGUCCCUGCUCCU
This 856-nucleotide ribosomal RNA is filed under the name uncultured archaeon. RNAcentral's name for it is "SSU rRNA". It matches the Rfam family "Archaeal small subunit ribosomal RNA", at positions 474 to 1337 of the family's 1478-position model. The record is from RNAcentral.